RNAcentral lists this ribosomal RNA (121 nucleotides) under Carassius auratus (goldfish). The record is from RNAcentral. Lineage: Eukaryota; Metazoa; Chordata; Actinopteri; Cypriniformes; Cyprinidae.
GCUUACGGCCAUACCAGCCUGGCUUAUGCCCGAUCUCGUCUGAUCUCGGAAGCUAAGCAGGUUUGGGCCUGGUUAGUACUUGGAUGGGAGACCGUCUGGGAAUACCAGGUGUCUGUAAGCA